UACGGAGGAUGCGAGCGUUAUCCGGAUCUAUUGGGUUUAAAGGGUGCGUAGGCGGGUUAUCAAGUCAGCGGUAAAAUCGUGGAGCUCAACUCCAUCCAGCCGUUGAAACUGAUGAUCUUGAGUGGGCGAGAAGUAUGCGGAAUGCGUGGUGUAGCGGUGAAAUGCAUAGAUAUCACGCAGAACUCCGAUUGCGAAGGCAGCAUACCGGCGCCCGACUGACGCUGAAGCACGAAAGCGUGGGUAUCGAACAGG
Molecule: ribosomal RNA, 252 nt
Filed under: uncultured bacterium
Lineage: Bacteria
Description: partial 16S ribosomal RNA
Rfam family: Bacterial small subunit ribosomal RNA
Source: RNAcentral